Molecule: transfer RNA, 72 nt
Filed under: bovine gut metagenome
Rfam family: tRNA
About the family: Transfer RNA (tRNA) molecules are approximately 80 nucleotides in length. Their secondary structure includes four short double-helical elements and three loops (D, anti-codon, and T loops). Further hydrogen bonds mediate the characteristic L-shaped molecular structure. tRNAs have two regions of fundamental functional importance: the anti-codon, which is responsible for specific mRNA codon recognition, and the 3' end, to which the tRNAs corresponding amino acid is attached (by aminoacyl-tRNA synthetases). tRNAs cope with the degeneracy of the genetic code in two manners: having more than one tRNA (with a specific anti-codon) for a particular amino acid; and 'wobble' base-pairing, i.e. permitting non-standard base-pairing at the 3rd anti-codon position.
Source: RNAcentral
GAGGCUUAGCUCAGCUGGUUAGAGCGCCUGCUUCACAUGCAGGAGGUCACAGGUUCAAGUCCCGUAGUCUCC